Molecule: ribosomal RNA, 478 nt
Filed under: uncultured bacterium
Lineage: Bacteria
Description: partial 16S ribosomal RNA
Rfam family: Bacterial small subunit ribosomal RNA
Source: RNAcentral
GACGAACGCUGGCGGCGUGCUUAACACAUGCAAGUCGAACGGUAAGGCCCUUCGGGGUACACGAGUGGCGAACGGGUGAGUAACACGUGGGUGAUCUGCCCUGCACUUCGGGAUAAGCCUGGGAAACUGGGUCUAAUACCGGAUAGGACCACUGCCUGCAUGGGUGGUGGUGGAAAGCUUUUGCGGUGUGGGAUGGGCCCGCGGCCUAUCAGCUUGUUGGUGGGGUGAUGGCCUACCAAGGCGGCGAAGGGUAGCCGGCCUGGGAGGGUGACCGGCCACACUGGGACUGAGAUACGGCCCAGACUCCUACGGGGGGCAGCAGUGGGGAAUAUUGCACAAUGGGCGCAAGCCUGAUGCAGCGACGCCGCGUGAGGGAUGACGUCCUUCGGGUUGUAAACCUCUUUCAGCACCGACGAAGCGCAAGUGACGGUAGGUGCAGAAGAAGGACCGGCCAACUACGUGCCAGCAGCCGCCGUAA